GGCAACAGCUCAAAUUUGAAAUCUGGCCCCCGGGUCCGAGUUGUAAUUUGUAGAGGAUGCUUUUGGUGCGGUACCUUCCGAGUUCCCUGGAACGGGACGCCAUAGAGGGUGAGAGCCCCGUCUGGUUGGACGCCAAUCCUUUGUAAAGCUCCUUCAACGAGUCGAGUAGUUUGGGAAUGCUGCUCUAAAUGGGAGGUAUAUGUCUUCUAAAGCUAAAUAUUGGCCAGAGACCGAUAGCGCACAAGUAGAGUGAUCGAAAGAUGAAAAGCACUUUGAAAAGAGAGUUAAAAAGUACGUGAAAUUGUUGAAAGGGAAGCGCUCAUGACCAGACUUGGGCUUGGUUGAUCAUCCAGGGUUCUCCCUGGUGCACUCUUCCGGCCCAGGCCAGCAUCAGUUCGCUGUGGGGGAUAAAGGCUUCGGGAAUGUGGCUCCCUCGGGAGUGUUAUAGCCCGUUGUGUAAUACCCUGUGGUGGACUGAGGUUCGCGCAUUCGCAAGGAUGCUGGCGUAAUGGUCAUCAGCGACCCGUCUUGAAACACGGACCAAGGAGUCGUCUUCGUAUGCGAGUGUUCGGGUGUCAAACCCCUACGCGUAAUGAAAGUGAACGCAGGUGAGAGCUUCGGCGCAUCAUCGACCGAUCCUGAUGUUCUCGGAUGGAUUUGAGUAAGAGCAUACGGGGCCGGACCCGAAAGAAGGUGAACUAUGCCUGUAUAGGGUGAAGCCAGAGGAAACUCUGGUGGAGGCUCGCAGCGGUUCUGACGUGCAAAUCGAUCGU
This 773-nucleotide ribosomal RNA is filed under the name Neonectria lugdunensis. RNAcentral's name for it is "LSU rRNA". It matches the Rfam family "Eukaryotic large subunit ribosomal RNA", at positions 100 to 905 of the family's 3401-position model. The record is from RNAcentral. Lineage: Eukaryota; Fungi; Ascomycota; Sordariomycetes; Hypocreales; Nectriaceae.